This 1213-nucleotide ribosomal RNA is filed under the name metagenome. RNAcentral describes it as "bacterial SSU rRNA". It matches the Rfam family "Bacterial small subunit ribosomal RNA", at positions 299 to 1498 of the family's 1533-position model. The record is from RNAcentral.
CCAGUUUUGCUCCAAGGACCAAUCUAACACUGCCCAGACUCCUACGGGAGGCUGCAGUCGAGGAUCAUUCGCAAUGCGCGAAAGCGUGACGAUGCGACGCUGCGUGAGGAUGACGGCCUUCGGGUUGUAAACUCCUGUCAUGAGGGAAGAACGACAUGGUUGGUAAUACCGGCCGUGUGUGACGGUAUCUCAAGAGGAAGCCACGGCUAACUCUGUGCCAGCAGCCGCGGUAAUACAGAGGUGGCUAGCGUUGUUCGGAUUUACUGGGCGUAAAGCGUACGUAGGCGGUUCCGUGUGUCGGGUGUGAAAUCCCACGGCUUACCCGUGGAACUGCACCCGAAACUGCGGGGCUAGAGUGCAGGAGGGGAGAGCGGAAUUCUUAGUGUAGCGGUGAAAUGCGUUGAUAUUAAGAAGAACACCGGUGGCGAAGGCGGCUCUCUGGAAUGUUACUGACGCUGAGGUACGAAAGUCGGGGGAGCAAACAGGAUUAGAUACCCUGGUAGUCCCGACCGUAAACGGUGUGAACUUGGUGUAGGGGGUAUUGACCCCCCCUGUGCCGGAGCUAACGCGUUAAGUUCACCGCCUGGGGAGUACGGCCGCAAGGCUAAAACUCAAAGAAAUUGACGGGGGCCCGCACAAGCGGAGGAGCAUGUGGCUUAAUUCGAUGCAACGCGAAGAACCUUACCUGGGCUUGACAUGGCGACCCUUCGGGGGUGGGAGUGAAAGCUCCCUUUACGAUCACAGGUGCUGCAUGGCUGUCGUCAGUUCGUGCCGUGAGGUGUUGGGUUAAGUCCCGCAACGAACGCAACCCUUGUGGCUAGUUGCCAGCGUCGGUGUUAAGCCGACAGGCACUCUAGUCAGACUGCCCGUACAAGCGGGAGGAAGGUGGGGAUGACGUCAAGUCAGUAUGGCCCUUAUGCCCAGGGCUGCACACGUGCUACAAUGGCCGGUACAAUGGGAAGCAAUACCGCGAGGUGGAGCUAAUCCCCAAAGCUGGCCCCAGUUCGGAUUGGAGUCUGCAACUCGACUCCAUGAAGUUGGAUUCGCUAGUAACGGCGUAUCAGCUACGACGCCGUGAAUACGUUCCCGGGCCUUGUACACACCGCCCGUCACAUCAUGAAAGCCGUCUGCACCCGAAGUCGCUGAGCUAACCCGCAAGGGGGGCAAGUGCCGAAGGUGUGGGUGGUGAUUGGGAUGAAGUCGUAACAAGGUA